GAUGAACGCUGGCGGCGUGCCUAAUACAUGCAAGUCGAGCGGACGGACGAGAAGCUUUCUUCUCUGAUGUUAGCGGCGGACGGGUGAGUAACACGUGGAUAACCUACCUAUAAGACUGGGAUAACUUCGGGAAACCGGAGCUAAUACCGGAUAAUAUUUUGAACCGCAUGGUUCAAAAGUGAAAGACGGUCUUGCUGUCACUUAUAGAUGGAUCCGCGCUGCAUUAGCUAGUUGGUAAGGUAACGGCUUACCAAGGCAACGAUGCAUAGCCGACCUGAGAGGGUGAUCGGCCACACUGGAACUGAGACACGGUCCAGACUCCUACGGGAGGCAGCAGUAGGGAAUCUUCCGCAAUGGGCGAAAGCCUGACGGAGCAACGCCGCGUGAGUGAUGAAGGUCUUCGGAUCGUAAAACUCUGUUAUUAGGGAAGAACAUAUGUGUAAGUAACUGUGCACAUCUUGACGGUACCUAAUCAGAAAGCCACGGCUAACUACGUG
RNAcentral lists this ribosomal RNA (497 nucleotides) under uncultured bacterium. RNAcentral describes it as "partial 16S ribosomal RNA". It matches the Rfam family "Bacterial small subunit ribosomal RNA", at positions 28 to 507 of the family's 1533-position model. The record is from RNAcentral.